GCCGGGGUGCCCGAGUGGACCAAGGGGCGGGCCUUGAGAGCCCGUGGGCCGAAAGGCCCGCGCGGGUUCGAAUCCCGCCCCCGGCGCCA
Molecule: transfer RNA, 89 nt
Filed under: Candidatus Bathyarchaeota archaeon
Lineage: Archaea; Thermoproteati; Candidatus Bathyarchaeota
Also listed under: 1 other name
Description: tRNA-Ser
Rfam family: tRNA
About the family: Transfer RNA (tRNA) molecules are approximately 80 nucleotides in length. Their secondary structure includes four short double-helical elements and three loops (D, anti-codon, and T loops).
Source: RNAcentral